CGAUAGUAUCGAUGCCUUGCAUCGCUAAUGUGGGUUGCAUUUUUAACCAAAACAAAAUUUUAAACGUUUAGAAAUUGAUUUAAUAAAAAUGUGAGUUAAACUUAAUCUAAAGCUUUUAUUUGCGAUUGCGUUUUUGUAGUUACCCCCUUACAAACUUACAAACAUUCAUCGAUUUGUGUUACAUUUAAUAUCUUAAUAUUGUCUAACGCAGCGGUAAAAUACUUACACAUAUCUAUACAUGUAUGUUUGUACAUACAUACAUACAUAUGGAAAUAUGUAAACUUAAUUGCAUAGUAUAUUUUGUGUCGGACGUAUACAGCGUUUGUCAAAAUAUAAUAUUUCAAAUUUCAAAGAUAUGAAUAUGAAUUGAGCUGUCAUUAUGUGAUUAAAGCAUUCCUUCGAUGUUAAUAUACUUAGGAUAUGAAUAAACAUGUAAAUAUCUUAUUGGGAGUCGAAUAUAACCUAUUUAAAAAAAUUCAAAUUAACCCAUGCCACAUGCAAUUUUUGACAAUACUCUCACCUUUUAAUUUGAAGUGAUUGUGUUAGAUAUUCAUUUUAAUGUUUUUAUUUUAAUUUUAAGACAUAUUUUGAUGCUGCUAACGAAUUUAAAACAUUUUAUAAAUCGAUUGCAUUAAUAUAGUCAUCCGUCAAUUAUAUGCAGAAAAAACUGCAUUAGUUCCCUCGAAAAAGUUCACUGAAAGUGUUAAUCAUAUCUGAACCAAUCGUUAAUUCAUUAAAUAAAGACAAGGAGGAACGGUGUGAGUUGCGUUCAAAAGAGACUCUACUUUUAUACCUGGUACUCAGUCAGUAUAUACAUACACAUGCACAUAUGUACUCGCAUACAUAACUAUGUGUUUUUGCAUGUAACCUUAUAAUUGUUUCGAAGUUUACAUUUUUUUUUCAUCUGAAAUCUACAUCACUUAUCACACCAACACGCUCUUUUAGCUCUCCUUUUCCGCCAGAGCCGAACACUCCUCGAGGCAGAGUGUGCGAGCGAGAGAGAAUGCAAGAAGGCCAGAAUAAACACAGUAGCUGGGGCUAGCCCAAGCAAAAAAAAUGUUCUGGCUAUUAUUAUGAUCCAAUCUGAACCUAAUUCGGGGAUCGUUUCACGUGUCUUCAAAAUUGUGGAUCUAACAGAUCGUUCUUGGUGCUUGUAACAAACUUUAUUCAGUGUGAUAUCAGAUCAGUCUGCAAACGGAAAGGUUGCCUUCUGUGCGUUACAUCAAUCUUGUACUUUCAGUAUCAAUAUCCGAGUCGAGACAGCUGUGUCUGUCUGUUCGUUCGUCUGUCCGUUCUCAAAAACUAUAAGAGCCACAGUCCCAAAUGUUUGUGUUAAGACUCUUGUGAUAUCUGAAUCACUGAAUCAUUGAUCCUUGAUCCUUGUCCUUGAUUGCAUUCUCGGCGCAUAGGAUACACCUUGAAGACUAUUUUUGCCUCAUGCAUGGAGAUUGGGAUUCCCAAUUGGGUUAUUUAAUUGGAAAACUGUUCCGAUCGGAUAAUUAUUACAGUCAGAUUGCGGUAAACGAGGUCCAGGCGUGAACGACUUGUUUUCUGUCUGGAUCUCGGUAUAUCUCUAUUUUCCACGUCAUGUUAGGAUUAGCCUUUAACUGCGUUCAAACCGGCAGGCACCACCUCUAAUCCUAUGCCUUUUACUUAGUUUCCCGAUGGAUAGGUAAUACUAUUUAUAUAGACAGCAUUUAUUUAAUAAAUAUAUAUUUUUUUCUUACAUAUUUGCAGGUUAAAACUUUAAAGAGGACGUAUGACCCUAGCAAUAUAAGUCAAAAAAGUACUUUUUGCAAUGAAUGCAUCGUUCCAUUCAUUUAGAGAUUUACUAGUGGCACAUCCCCAAGAUUCCUCAAGUCCGGAAAGUUUUGCUCCCGUAGUUAUUGGUUAUAGAAAUACUGCCAACAAUAAGGAUAUUGUCGAGACCAGCUCAAAUAUUUCUUCUUCUCAUUUAUCGUUCAUGGACGAAUCUUCAAACGAUUUUAAUAAUCAUCAGUUAAUUCAUCCUAACUCUCUAAUUAAAGUGUGUGGUGGUUGUGGAGGUAAGAUAUUAAAUUAAUCAAAUAAGUUGAGCUUUAAUUUGUUCGGAUAGACACAAACUUUAACUUUGUUUCUUAAUAUCUUCUUUAAACUGGACUGUUCAUGGUAAAUCGUUUAAAUAUGGUUUCAGAUUACUUAAGCGUUUUUGUAAACAAGGUUGAAGAUAUAUCAGUUUCCAAAUAUUGUAUAGAAUAUAUUAAUACUUAUAAUAAUAAUUCUUUUAACAAGCUAUAAAAUAAUUAUUUUAUAAUAACACUGCGUAGUGACUUAGUACGAGGCGAAAACUAUUCUGUGAAUCCACUCCAUUGGCGAGUUAACGUUCGCGGUUAACACUAUUUAUAUAAUUUGCAACAACUUUUGCAAUUCGUUUGAAAUUGGCAUAAUUGAGCCCAUUUUAAUUUAAUAAUUGCAUUUUUUGCAUUUGCCGCUGUGUUGUAAACUAUUUUUUUUGCUCCGUACAUUCUAUUGAACAUACGAAUGGUCCUUAUCUGUGCCUUUUAGAAGACUGUUCAAUAGUUCUGGUGCACAGUGGUUGGGCUUGUACAAAUCUAGUGGCAAACAAAACUUCCAGGAGAUAUAACAUUACAAUUAUCUUUUGAGAAGGAAUAACGUUGAUGAUAUUUUUGUAAAUUAAUAAGAAAAACAAAUAAAGGCAAAUAUAGAUUUGAUUGAUUUUAUUGUUUUUUUCUAAAAAGUUAUAUACAGUAUUAAAAAGGGUUUUCUUUUUUGUAGAUGAUCAUUUUAUUUGAGCAGCAAUAAAAGGAAUCUUAGCUUAGGAGAAAUCUGUUUAUCAAAUAGCUAUUUGUAAUAAUACCUGACACCUUGAGCUGCCUUCUGAAAAUUUUAAUGACUGCAGCUUCUUAGGACAACCCUCCUUCUGCAAUGUAUAAUUGAUUAUACUCAUAAACUAAAACUUUGUGAACUGAAUGGUGUCAAGUGCAUACUUUCCAAAUUUGUCCACAUUAUGUUAUAAUGCAUUAUAGGCGCAGCAAUAUUGAGCUCCUGAUUAUAAUAUUUUCAUUCAGACCUUGCAGUAUUGCCGUAAUUUGAAGUGCCACUUCCUCCUCUUCUAGGAACGAAAAUCUGUGAUUUCCACAAUUUUGAAAAUCGCAUAAUGGGCAUAUCUAUGUAUCAGAUCAAUGAAUUAAAGUAUAAUUGGAUAAUUUGUAUGCCAUAAUUAAGAAAUUCAAUUACAGUGACUACAACCAAUUUGUCCAGCAUUUCGUUGUAUGCUUGUUUGUUCUUUCUCAUUCUCUUUCUCAUUUCUCUCUGCCUCGUGCAGUGUGCGGCCUUGGUGUAGGUGGGAGAUGUAGAUUACAGAAGUAUACAAAAUGUAAAAUAUAAAAUUCGAAUCGCCCAAGUAUCGAUGGUUUUCCUGUUUCCUUUUAAAAACGGAAAAUGCUAAGAAAUAUAUAUUUUAGGUCCUCCGCAAUACAAAUAGAGCUGCGCUCGUAGCUAAUUAUGUCUAUAAAACUCUAUAUGUGUAAAAAUAUUCCAAUUAUUUAAUAAGAUAUCACACAAUUAUACUAAUGCUUGGUUUUUUAUUUUUUAUUUAUAGAUAAAAUAAGUGAUAGAUAUCUUUUAUAUGCGUUAGACAGAUAUUGGCACAAUGGUUGCCUGAAAUGUCAUUGUUGUGGAGCCAUGUUAGCCGAGGUCGGUUCCAGCUGUUUUACUCGAAGAGGUUUGAUACUCUGUAAAAAAGACUAUUCCAGGUAACACAAUCAUUAACGUAACAAAAUAAAACAUAUUUUCUUAUUUUUGUAACAGGUAUUCUUCUUUUUUUUGCGGAUUAAGUGAAAGGCUUAUCAGCGUGUAGAGAAAUAUUUGAAAAUGUACACAAGCGAUUAUUUGUUGUGGGACGAAUUGCGAGCGCAACAGACUUGGAAUGGAGAAGUACUUAGAAAGAAAAUUGUAUAUCUGUUAUCUAUCGUCUUAUACAGAAUCGGACAGUGAAGGAUAAAUAUGUGUGUUUCAUCCACAAUUUAAAGAAAAAACCUAGGACGCAGAAUCAUACAGAAUUAUGCUAUCUACCAGAUUGCCAAGUCUGUUUAAGAAUAUUAUUAUAAAAAUUAAGAACAAAUUAAUUUGCAGUGGCUGCGGCACAACAUUCCACUUGGUACUCACUUUCCCUCUCUGUGUCAAACUUGGGCUAAUCGAAUUGUGCCCGCGACUAUACGUUGUGCUGCCUUUUCUGCAGUCAGUUGAUCGUGGAUAUCCAGAGUGUCGAUUUCCCGUAAGGUUUCGAGACCUUUGAAAGGUUGGCCUUAGCGCCCGUGAUCAGAGCAUUAGUAUUAGAUUCGCUUUUUUAUAGCAGCUUCAAGUAGCAACAAGCAUCUAGCUGCAAAGUGACAAUCUUCUGCAAUCAUUGGAAAACAAUUGCAAUUACCGAUAGUACUCUGAAAUUACAACUACUACAACAUCUUAAAUUAUAUAUAUAUAUAUAUAUAUAAAUAUAUAAAUGUUAUUUAUUUUUACAGUAUGUUCGGAUGCUCUGGAGUAUGUUCCGGAUGUGGCGAAACUAUUCCCCCAAGUGAAUUGGUGGCAAAGGCUCUUACUGGAAUAAAUAAUAUUGACAUACAAAGUCAACCAAAACAAAUAAUUAACUGUGUAUUUCAUCUAAGGUGCUUUAGUUGUGCUAAGUGUGGAUCAAGUCUACGUCCUGGGGAUAGGUAUGCUCCUCACAGUUCAUUAUUUCUGCUAUAAAAAUAUCUUAAUAUUGAAAAUGAAUAAUAUUUGAUAAUACAAUUUACUUUUGUAUUACUUUUUUUAGGUACACUAUGCUAGGAGCAAGCUUGGUGUGUGAACAGGAUUGGCAUAAAUUGCUCAAAAGCCCAGCAAAUCCGAAUGGUACGCUUGCACAAAGAAAAGGAAAAGUUGGAAGACCCAGAAGAGCCAAGGAUUAAUAAUAUUAAAUUUCUUGUAUCAAAUAAACUUUUAUUUUAGAAAACAGUUAAUUUUAUAGAUUAUCUUUAAAAAUUCAAUUAAAUCAAAAUGUAAUAAUCCAAGUUCCCUUAUCCCACUCCUUAUAUGGAAAUAUAUAUAAUUAUUUUUGUAUGCAGCUCUAGAAUUUUAGGGUUAACUAAAUUGCCG
RNAcentral lists this long non-coding RNA (5133 nucleotides) under Drosophila guanche. The record is from RNAcentral. Lineage: Eukaryota; Metazoa; Arthropoda; Insecta; Diptera; Drosophilidae.